UUGUGGAACUUUGAACUUGAGACAGCUUAUUUAGGUUAUCUGGUCGAAGAAAUUUCUAAGCUACAAAGCAUUCAAGAGGUGAUUUGGUGUUUUUCUAAAAAUAUAU
This is a long non-coding RNA of Nomascus leucogenys (northern white-cheeked gibbon), 106 nucleotides long. RefSeq lists it as uncharacterized. The transcript has 3 exons. NCBI's taxonomy places the organism in Eukaryota, Metazoa, Chordata, Mammalia, Primates, Hylobatidae. The record is from RefSeq and is a predicted model, not a curated record.